AAAAUCACCUGGGAAUUUUCUGGAAAUCCCAAAAAAUCCCCCAAAAAUUCCCAAAAAAAUCCCCCCAAAAAUGCCUUGGGAAUCACCUGGAAAUCCCAAAAAUAUCCCCCCAAAAUCCCUUUGGGAGUUCCCACGAAAUCUCCCCAAAAAUUCCCCCCAAAAAUGCCUUGGGAAUCACCUGGAAAUCUCAAAAAAAUCCCCCAAAAAUCCCAAAAAUUCCCCUAAAAAUGCCUUGAGAAUUAACUGGAAAUCUCCCAAAAAUUCCCUUUGGGAAUUCCCACAAAGUCCGCCAAAAAUCCUCACAAAAUUCCCCCAAAAAUUCCCCAAAAAAUCCCCUGGGAAUUUUCUGCAAAUUCCCCCAAAAAAUUCCCUUGGUAAAACCCCAGAAAAUCCCCCAAAAACACUUAGGGAAUUCCCCCAAAAAUCCCUUUGGAAAAUCCCUAAAAAAAAUUGGGGGGAAAUGGGGGGAAAAUGAGAAAAAAAAUUGUAAAAAAAUGUAAAAAAUGGGACGGGGGAGGGAAAUGGGAAAAUUUGGGUGAAAAUGAGAAAAAAAACGGGAAAAAUCUGGAAAAUGCCCGGGAGUCCCCCGGGAAUUCUGUGACAUUCCAGUGGCAUUAAUUAAUUAACUCUGUGUCGUUAAUUAAUUAAUCCUGUGUUAUUAAUUUUCGUGUUGUCACAUUUGCGCCGGAUUUUGCCUUAAUUCCCCGGAAAUCCGCCAAAUUCCGUGCCGUUAAUUAAUCCUGUGUCGUUAACUAAUUUCGUGUUGUUAAGCCCGUGUCAUUAUUUAAUUCCAUCUCAUCAAGUCCGAGUCAUUAAUGCCGUGUCAGUAAUUAAUUCCGUGCCAUUAAUUAAUUCCGUGUCAUUAAUUCCAUGUCAUUUAUUAAUUCCGUGUCAUUAAUUAAUUCCGUGUAGUUUAUUAAUUCCGCGUCAUUUAUUAAUUCCAUGUAAAUAAUUCCGUGUCAUUAAUGUCCUCUUACUAAUUCUGUGUCAAUAAUAAAUUCCAUGUCAUUAAUCCCGUGCCA
Molecule: long non-coding RNA, 1022 nt
Organism: Zonotrichia albicollis (white-throated sparrow)
Lineage: Eukaryota; Metazoa; Chordata; Aves; Passeriformes; Passerellidae
Source: Ensembl